Molecule: ribosomal RNA, 442 nt
Filed under: uncultured bacterium
Lineage: Bacteria
Description: partial 16S ribosomal RNA
Rfam family: Bacterial small subunit ribosomal RNA
Source: RNAcentral
CCUACGGGAGGCAGCAGUGGGGAAUAUUGCACAAUGGGGGGAACCCUGAUGCAGCAAUGCCGCGUGAAGGAUGAAGGUUUUCGGAUUGUAAACUUCUUUUGUACGGGACGAAGAAAGUGACGGUACCGUAAGAAUAAGCCACGGCUAACUACGUGCCAGCAGCCGCGGUAAUACGUAGGUGGCAAGCGUUAUCCGGAUUUAUUGGGUUUAAAGGGUGCGCAGGCGGAGGUGCAAGUCAGCGGUCAAAUUGCGGGGCUCAACCCCGUACUGCCGUUGAAACUGCAUCCCUUGAGUGCGCGAGAAGUAUGCGGAAUGCGUGGUGUAGCGGUGAAAUGCAUAGAUAUCACGCAGAACUCCGAUUGCGAAGGCAGCAUACCGGCGCGCAACUGACGCUCAUGCACGAAAGCGUGGGUAUCGAACAGGAUUAGAUACCCGUGUAGUC